CGCGUGAGAAUCUGACUUUUGGUCGGGGACAACCACUGGAAACGGUGGCUAAUACCGGAUAAGCCUUUGGGUGAAAGAUUAAUUGCCAGAAGAGGAGCUCGCGUCUGAUUAGCUAGUUGGUGGGGUAAAGGCUUACCAAGGCAGCGAUCAGUAGCUGGUCUGAGAGGACGAUCAGCCACACUGGGACUGAGACACGGCCCAGACUCCUACGGGAGGCAGCAGUGGGGAAUUUUCCGCAAUGGGCGAAAGCCUGACGGAGCAAUACCGCGUGAGGGAGGAAGGCUCUUGGGUUGUAAACCU
Molecule: ribosomal RNA, 300 nt
Filed under: uncultured Xenococcaceae cyanobacterium
Lineage: Bacteria; Bacillati; Cyanobacteriota; Cyanophyceae; Pleurocapsales; Xenococcaceae
Description: bacterial SSU rRNA
Rfam family: Bacterial small subunit ribosomal RNA
Source: RNAcentral